AUAUAUCGGAACGUGCCCAGUCGUGGGGGAUAGCCCGGCGAAAGCCGGAUUAAUACCGCAUACGACCUACGGGUGAAAGCGGGGGACCUGCAAGGGCCUCGCGCGAUUGGAGCGGCCGAUAUCAGAUUAGCUUGUUGGCGGGGUAAAAGCCCACCAAGGCGACGAUCUGUAGCUGGUCUGAGAGGACGACCAGCCACACUGGGACUGAGACACGGCCCAGACUCCUACGGGAGGCAGCAGUGGGGA
This 246-nucleotide ribosomal RNA is filed under the name uncultured Methylibium sp. RNAcentral describes it as "partial 16S ribosomal RNA". It matches the Rfam family "Bacterial small subunit ribosomal RNA", at positions 113 to 360 of the family's 1533-position model. The record is from RNAcentral. Lineage: Bacteria; Pseudomonadati; Pseudomonadota; Betaproteobacteria; Burkholderiales; Sphaerotilaceae.